Molecule: ribosomal RNA, 1442 nt
Filed under: metagenome
Description: bacterial SSU rRNA
Rfam family: Bacterial small subunit ribosomal RNA
Source: RNAcentral
AGAGUUUGAUCCUGGCUCAGGAUGAACGCUGGCGGCGUGCUUAACACAUGCAAGUCGAACGAUCCUUCGGGAUAGUGGCGGACGGGUGAGUAACGCGUGGGAAUCUGCCCUCAGGAGGGGGAUAACGGCUGGAAACGGCCGCUAAUACCCCAUAUGCCGAGAGGUGAAAUGAAUUUCGCCUGAGGAUGAGCCCGCGUCUGAUUAGCUAGUUGGUGGGGUAAUGGCCUACCAAGGCAACGAUCAGUAGCUGGUCUGAGAGGAUGAUCAGCCACACUGGGACUGAGACACGGCCCAGACUCCUACGGGAGGCAGCAGUGGGGAAUUUUCCGCAAUGGGCGAAAGCCUGACGGAGCAACGCCGCGUGAGGGAUGAAGGCCUCUGGGCUGUAAACCUCUUUUCUCAAGGAAGAAGACCUGACGGUACUUGAGGAAUAAGCCACGGCUAAUUCCGUGCCAGCAGCCGCGGUAAUACGGGAGUGGCAAGCGUUAUCCGGAAUUAUUGGGCGUAAAGCGUCCGCAGGCGGCCUUGUAAGUCUGUUGUUAAAGCGUGGAGCUCAACUCCAUUUAAGCAAUGGAAACUACAAGGCUGAGUGUGGUAGGGGCAGAGGGAAUUCCCGGUGUAGCGGUGAAAUGCGUAGAUAUCGGGAAGAACACCAGUGGCGAAGGCGCUCUGCUGGGCCAUAACUGACGCUCAUGGACGAAAGCCAGGGGAGCGAAAGGGAUUAGAUACCCCUGUAGUCCUGGCCGUAAACGAUGAACACUAGGUGUCGGGGGAAUCGACCCCCUCGGUGUCGUAGCCAACGCGAUAAGUGUUCCGCCUGGGGAGUACGCACGCAAGUGUGAAACUCAAAGGAAUUGACGGGGGCCCGCACAAGCGGUGGAGUAUGUGGUUUAAUUCGAUGCAACGCGAAGAACCUUACCAGGGUUUGACAUCCUGCGAACCCCUGAGAAAUCGGGGGGUGCCUUCGGGAGCGCAGAGACAGGUGGUGCAUGGCUGUCGUCAGCUCGUGUCGUGAGAUGUUGGGUUAAGUCCCGCAACGAGCGCAACCCACGUCUUUAGUUGCCAGCAUUCAGUUGGGCACUCUAGAGAGACCGCCGGUGAUAAACCGGAGGAAGGUGUGGAUGACGUCAAGUCAUCAUGCCCCUUACAUCCUGGGCUACACACGUACUACAAUGCUACGGACAAAGGGCAGCAAGCUCGCGAGAGUUAGCAAAUCCCAUAAACCGUGGCUCAGUUCAGAUCGUAGGCUGCAACUCGCCUACGUGAAGGAGGAAUCGCUAGUAAUCGCAGGUCAGCAUACUGCGGUGAAUACGUUCCCGGGCCUUGUACACACCGCCCGUCACACCAUGGAAGUUGGCCAUGCCCGAAGUCGUUACUCCAACCCUUGUGGAGGAGGACGCCGAAGGUGGGGCUGAUGACUGGGGUGAAGUCGGAACAAGGUA